GAACGCACAUUGCACCCUCUGGUAUUCCGGGGGGUAUGCCUGUUCGAGCGUCAUUUCAACCCUCAAGCCCAGCUUGGUAUUGGGUGUCACCUGGCAAUGGUGUACCUCAAAAUCAGUGGCGGUGCCAUCUGGCUUCAAGCGUAGUAAAACAAUCGCUUUGGAGGUUUGGAUGUGUCCUUGCCAUCAACUCCUAAUUUAUCAAAGGUUGACCUCGGAUCAGGUAGGGAUACCCGCUGAACUUAAG
This 244-nucleotide unclassified non-coding RNA is filed under the name uncultured Helotiales. RNAcentral describes it as "sequence contains 5.8S rRNA gene". The stretch from base 1 to 53 matches the Rfam family "5.8S ribosomal RNA", at positions 102 to 154 of the family's 154-position model. Lineage: Eukaryota; Fungi; Ascomycota; Leotiomycetes; Helotiales. The record is from RNAcentral.